RNAcentral lists this unclassified non-coding RNA (140 nucleotides) under uncultured Ascomycota. RNAcentral's name for it is "sequence contains ITS2". The record is from RNAcentral. Lineage: Eukaryota; Fungi; Ascomycota.
CAACCAUCAAGCCUUGCUUGGUUUUGGAGGUGGUCCUGACCGACCCUUCCCCAACUCAACGAGCGGUCACGUCCGAUCUCGAGCGUAGCAAAAACUCGCUUCAAGAGCAAGACGGUGUCUCGCCAGAUAUCAAUUCUGAA